AGGACGAACGCUGGCGGCGUGCUUAACACAUGCAAGUCGAGCGGUAAGGCCUUUCGGGGUACACGAGCGGCGAACGGGUGAGUAACACGUGGGUGAUCUGCCCUGCACUUCGGGAUAAGCCUGGGAAACUGGGUCUAAUACCGGAUAUGACUUCAGGUUGCAUGACUUGGGGUGGAAAGAUUUAUCGGUGCAGGAUGGGCCCGCGGCCUAUCAGCUUGUUGGUGGGGUAAUGGCCUACCAAGGCGACGACGGGUAGCCGACCUGAGAGGGUGACCGGCCACACUGGGACUGAGACACGGCCCAGACUCCUACGGGAGGCAGCAGUGGGGAAUAUUGCACAAUGGGCGAAAGCCUGAUGCAGCGACGCCGCGUGAGGAUGACGGCCGUUCGGGUUGUAAACCUCUUUCAGCAGGACGAGCGCAAGUGACGGUACCUGACAGAAGAACGCGACCGCUAAACUACGUGCCAGCAGCCGAC
Molecule: ribosomal RNA, 477 nt
Filed under: uncultured soil bacterium
Lineage: Bacteria
Description: bacterial SSU rRNA
Rfam family: Bacterial small subunit ribosomal RNA
Source: RNAcentral